CCUACGGGCGGCUGCAGUGGGGAAUAUUGGACAAUGGGCGAAAGCCUGAUCCAGCCAUGCCGCGUGUGUGAAGAAGGCCUUCGGGUUGUAAAGCACUUUCAGUGGGGAAGAAAGCCUUGGGGCUAAUACCCUCGAGGAAGGACAUCACCCACAGAAGAAGCACCGGCUAACUCCGUGCCAGCAGCCGCGGUAAUACGGAGGGUGCGAGCGUUAAUCGGAAUUACUGGGCGUAAAGCGCGCGUAGGCGGUCUGAUAAGCCGGUUGUGAAAGCCCGGGGCUCAACCUGGGAACGGCAUCCGGAACUGUCAGGCUAGAGUGCAGGAGAGGAAGGUAGAAUUCCCGGUGUAGCGGUGAAAUGCGUAGAGAUCGGGAGGAAUACCAGUGGCGAAGGCGGCCUUCUGGACUGACACUGACGCUGAGGUGCGAAAGCGUGGGUAGCAAACAGGAUUAGAUACCCUUGUAGUC
RNAcentral lists this ribosomal RNA (465 nucleotides) under Vreelandella stevensii. RNAcentral describes it as "partial 16S ribosomal RNA". It matches the Rfam family "Bacterial small subunit ribosomal RNA", at positions 338 to 795 of the family's 1533-position model. The record is from RNAcentral. Lineage: Bacteria; Pseudomonadati; Pseudomonadota; Gammaproteobacteria; Oceanospirillales; Halomonadaceae.